GUAUGUUUCCGAGGGAUUAGGAAAAGCCAGGAGGAUUUAGCCCAGAGGAGAAGAGAGGAUCCGAUUCUCGCUUUGCCCCCGAAAGAGUCAGAAUCCAUUCUGACUUCCAGGCCAUUUCAUUCAACUGAAGCUAAUUCUACUGCUACUGUAAGAGUUCCGGGUGAAGUUCAUAGAAAGAGGUUUUCAUAGGACCUAAUUCCAAGGUAUUAGGAAGAUCUUCUACGGGACUCAG
RNAcentral lists this long non-coding RNA (232 nucleotides) under Nicotiana benthamiana. RNAcentral describes it as "long non-coding RNA (NBEN_LNC023094)". Lineage: Eukaryota; Viridiplantae; Streptophyta; Magnoliopsida; Solanales; Solanaceae. The record is from RNAcentral.